GGUUCUCUCCGAAAUAGCUUUAGGGCUAGCCUCAAGUGAUGAUUAUUGGAGGUAGAGCACUGUUUGGACGAGGGGCCCCUCUCGGGUUACCGAAUUCAGACAAACUCCGAAUGCCAAUUAAUUUAACUUGGGAGUCAGAACAUGGGUGAUAAGGUCCGUGUUCGAAAGGGAAACAGCCCAGACCACCAGCUAAGGUCCCAAAAUAUAUGUUAAGUGGAAAAGGAUGUGGCGUUGCCCAGACAACUAGGAUGUUGGCUUAGAAGCAGCCAUCAUUUAAAGAGUGCGUAAUAGCUCACUAGUCGAGUGACACUGCGCCGAAAAUGUACCGGGGCUAAACAUAUUACCGAAGCUGUGGAUUGUCCUUUGGACAAUGGUAGGAGAGCGUUCUAAGGGCGUUGAAGCAUGAUCGUAAGGACAUGUGGAGCGCUUAGAAGUGAGAAUGCCGGUGUGAGUAGCGAAAGACGGGUGAGAAUCCCGUCCACCGAUUGACUAAGGUUUCCAGAGGAAGGCUCGUCCGCUCUGGGUUAGUCGGGUCCUAA
This 539-nucleotide ribosomal RNA is filed under the name Staphylococcus aureus. Its description in RNAcentral is "partial 23S ribosomal RNA". It matches the Rfam family "Bacterial large subunit ribosomal RNA", at positions 851 to 1394 of the family's 2925-position model. Lineage: Bacteria; Bacillati; Bacillota; Bacilli; Caryophanales; Staphylococcaceae. The record is from RNAcentral.